Molecule: ribosomal RNA, 498 nt
Filed under: uncultured bacterium
Lineage: Bacteria
Description: bacterial SSU rRNA
Rfam family: Bacterial small subunit ribosomal RNA
Source: RNAcentral
AUUGAACGCUGGCGGCGUGCUUAACACAUGCAAGUCGAUCGGUAACAGGUGUAGCAAUACAUGCUGACGAGAGGCGGACGGGUGAGUAAUGCUUGGGAAUCUGCCUAUUAGUGGGGGACAACCCGGGGAAACUCGGGCUAAUACCGCAUACGCUCUACGGAGGAAAGCCGGGGACCGCAAGGCCUGGCGCUAAUAGAUGAGCCCAAGUCGGAUUAGCUAGUUGGUAGGGUAACGGCCUACCAAGGCGACAAUCCGUAGCUGGUCUGAGAGGACGACCAGCCACACCGGAACUGAGACACGGUCCGGGCUCCUACGGGAGGCAGCAGUGGGGAAUAUUGGACAAGUGGGGGCAACCCUGAUCCAGCGACGCCGCGUGGGUGAAGAAGGCCUGCGGGUUGUAAAGCUCUUUCGGCCGGGAAGAAGGGUUAUCCCGCGAACAGUUGGGUAAUCUGACGGUACCGGAAGAAGAAGCACCUGCUAACUACGUGCCAGCCGCCG